Long non-coding RNA from Magallana angulata, 693 nucleotides. RefSeq lists it as uncharacterized. NCBI's taxonomy places the organism in Eukaryota, Metazoa, Mollusca, Bivalvia, Ostreida, Ostreidae. The transcript is spliced from 3 exons. The record is from RefSeq and is a predicted model, not a curated record.
GUGAUUGGUCAGUAUUGGUCACUACUGAUAGAGUUUGGCGGGAGAUAUUCUUUUGUAUUCUGGUUCUGUAAUUCUUUAAUUGCAACCAAGACUUCUAGCUAGACAGGUGUGUUUCAGACUGAGACAAAGCAUACAGACUCAGACCUGUCAAGUCAUAUAAUGAGCCUGAUCCGCUGAUUGAUACUACGUAUAUGCAGUGUCGUGCACCUAGUUCCAUAAAUGGGGUGAAACGAUUAAUGCGACGUAACGCUCAGAAUAUAUAAUAUAGAACCCUACAAUCGUCUUGGUGUUUUGUUUAAUUCGUCCAAGAACGGUUACAAAAAUGGCGCCCAACGUGGUUUAGGAUCAACGGCAAUCUGGUGGACGUUCCCCGCACGCCCAUUCCCGUGCAAGGACGGAAUUCCAGACGAGAAUGUACAGGCCGACGGAGACCCGCCAAAACAAUCCGUGGAGUUUCCCGCACUUUGGUGACGUCAUCUACCGGAAGGGUUUAUUCGAGGAGAUCCACAUGUGUUACUAUUCUCGUCCUCGUGUGUGUUGUGUCUUGUGUUUUGUGAAAUCUUUGUAAAUGUGUUGUGAAAUGUAUAUGUUGUGUACAUGUUCAUAAGGAAUUUAAUCAUUGAUUGGUAAGAAAUUUCUAUUGCGCACCACAAACUAGUUGUAUGUUGAAACGUUGAUAUAUAUCACGUGAUU